ACCUGGUUAUAUUGAGAACUGCAAGCAAGCCUCUUUCCAUCAGCUCUGUAGCAUGUGCCUCAUUCGGAAUCCAGCCCUCCAUUUAUAACAAUACUCUGCUUAAUGUAUAAAUUAAGAUGAUGCCAAAGACCAACAAUUUCUGAGAUCACACAUUAGGAAUAGUCGUCAAGAAGGAUCAGGACCUGUCAUUAGGCAGAGUGAAGUCACCUCAGGCAGAAGAUUUUGGAUGUGAUGAAAGGGCAGCAAACGGAGACAGGCCAGCUGUGAUCACCCAGAGCAUGUGUGGCUGAUGAGUUUAUGUGCUCUUACACCUGUGAGGCCUUGGGCAACCUGCAUAGUCCCAGAGCACCCCCAAAAGGAGAGAGAGAUCAAGCACCUCUGAGUACUUUAUACCUAGGAAACCCUUGGAGGGUUGCCUUAUGUUGGAACUGACCUG
Molecule: non-coding RNA, 436 nt
Organism: Pogona vitticeps (central bearded dragon)
Lineage: Eukaryota; Metazoa; Chordata; Lepidosauria; Squamata; Agamidae
Source: RefSeq, a predicted model, not a curated record